AUCCAGCUGACGAGUUUUACAUAAGGCAAAACGCACGUCCUGCAU
This 45-nucleotide non-coding RNA is filed under the name Schistosoma margrebowiei. The record is from RNAcentral. Lineage: Eukaryota; Metazoa; Platyhelminthes; Trematoda; Strigeidida; Schistosomatidae.